UACGAAGGGGGCUAGCGUUGCUCGGAAUUACUGGGCGUAAAGGGCGCGUAGGCGGCCGCUCAAGUUAGGCGUGAAAGCCCCGGGCUCAACCUGGGAAUUGCGCUUGAUACUGUGUGGCUUGAGUUCGGGAGAGGAGAGUGGAAUUCCCAGUGUAGAGGUGAAAUUCGUAGAUAUUGGGAAGAACACCGGUGGCGAAGGCGGCUCUCUGGACCGAUACUGACGCUGAGGCGCGAAAGCGUGGGGAGCAAACAGG
RNAcentral lists this ribosomal RNA (253 nucleotides) under uncultured bacterium. RNAcentral's name for it is "partial 16S ribosomal RNA". It matches the Rfam family "Bacterial small subunit ribosomal RNA", at positions 524 to 776 of the family's 1533-position model. The record is from RNAcentral.